Molecule: unclassified non-coding RNA, 218 nt
Filed under: plant metagenome
Description: partial contains small subunit ribosomal RNA and internal transcribed spacer 1
Rfam family: Eukaryotic small subunit ribosomal RNA (bases 1-46)
Source: RNAcentral
AAGUCGUAACAAGGUUUCCGUAGGUGAACCUGCGGAAGGAUCAUUACCGAGUUAGGGUCUAUUCAGGCCCGACCUCCAACCCUGUGUUUACAUUACCAUGUUGCUUUGCGGCCGCCUCGGGCGCGGGGGUUUAUCAGCCCUUGCCCGCUGCCUCGCCUGUGGCCUUAUUAAAUUCUUUUUUAACUGUGAUGUCUGAGUCUAAAUAUAAAUCGUUAAAA